AGCCCCUUCGACGAGUCGAGUUGUUUGGGAAUGCAGCUCUAAAUGGGAGGUAAAUUCCUUCUAAAGCUAAAUACUGGCCAGAGACCGAUAGCGCACAAGUAGAGUGAUCGAAAGAUGAAAAGCACUUUGGAAAGAGAGUCAAACAGCACGUGAAAUUGUUGAAAGGGAAGCGCUUGCAGCCAGACUUGCCCGCGGUCGUUCUUCUUCCGCGGGCAGGCCAGCAUCAGUCUGGGCGGUCGGAUAAAGGCCUCGGGAAUGUAGCUCUCUUCGGGGAGUGUUAUAGCCCGGGGCGCCAUGCGGCCAGCUCGGACUGAGGUCCGCGCAUCUGCUAGGAUGCUGGCGUAAUGGCUGUAAGCGGCCCGUCUUGAAACACGGACCAAGGAGUCUAACAUCUAUGCGAGUGUUUGGGUGUCAAGCCCGGGCGCGCAAUGAAAGUGAACGGAGGUGGGAACCCCUCGGGGCGCACCAUCGACCGAUCCUGAUGUCUUCGGAUGGAUUUGAGUAAGAGCAUAGCUGUUGGGACCCGAAAGAUGGUGAACUAUGCCUGAAUAGGGUGAAGCCAGAGGAAACUCUGGUGGAGGCUCGCAGCGGUUCUGACGUGCAAAUCGAUCGUCAAAUUUGGGCAUAGGGGCGAAAGACUAAUCGA
This 646-nucleotide ribosomal RNA is filed under the name Anteaglonium parvulum. RNAcentral's name for it is "eukaryotic LSU rRNA". It matches the Rfam family "Eukaryotic large subunit ribosomal RNA", at positions 250 to 938 of the family's 3401-position model. The record is from RNAcentral. Lineage: Eukaryota; Fungi; Ascomycota; Dothideomycetes; Pleosporales; Anteagloniaceae.